AUUGAACGCUGGCGGCAGGCCUAACACAUGCAAGUCGAGCGGAUGAAGGGAGCUUGCUCCUGGAUUCAGCGGCGGACGGGUGAGUAAUGCCUAGGAAUCUGCCUGGUAGUGGGGGAUAACGUCCGGAAACGGGCGCUAAUACCGCAUACGUCCUGAGGGAGAAAGUGGGGGAUCUUCGGACCUCACGCUAUCAGAUGAGCCUAGGUCGGAUUAGCUAGUUGGUGGGGUAAAGGCCUACCAAGGCGACGAUCCGUAACUGGUCUGAGAGGAUGAUCAGUCAAACUGAAACUGGACACCGGCCCGGCCCCUUACGGAAGCAGGCGUUGGGAAUUUUUGGCCAAGGGGGGAAGGCUUGACCAGGCAUGGCGGCGUUGGUAAAGAGGGCUUUCGAAUUGUAAACACCUUUAGGUGGGAAGAAAGGGAAGUAGUUUAUUCCCUGCCUUUUUGACGUUACCAACAGAAUAAGCACCGGCUAACUUCGUG
This 483-nucleotide ribosomal RNA is filed under the name uncultured bacterium. RNAcentral's name for it is "partial 16S ribosomal RNA". It matches the Rfam family "Bacterial small subunit ribosomal RNA", at positions 30 to 507 of the family's 1533-position model. The record is from RNAcentral.